UUAUUUGAAUUUCUCAAUAUCUAUUUUUGGCUGAUAUCAAUGGUCUAUUUUUUCAUGUCAAAAAGUCUCCUAGACAUGGUUUUUUUCUCAGAGUUAUGAACAGUCAAAGCUAAAAUCAUAUCUUCAAGCUCUCCGAGCUUCACUUUUGUCCAAAAUAAAUGAUAAUAGUCCACCUUUCUUUCUUUACUAUACUCAAAGUUAUAAUUAUCAGCAUAAAUAAGUACAUUUGUAUCUUUAUGAAACAUCUUUUCAUUUACUAUUUUUUCAACCAUGCAUUCUUGAAUUUAGAUGGUUUGGGCUUUUUUUGUUAAGCCUUGUACUCCUCCAUAUUCAAAUUCACCUUGAUUUUGGAUACAUGUUGUAUCCAUAAUAAUCCUUGUAU
RNAcentral lists this long non-coding RNA (382 nucleotides) under Physcomitrium patens. RNAcentral's name for it is "long non-coding RNA (PPAT_LNC004366)". The record is from RNAcentral. Lineage: Eukaryota; Viridiplantae; Streptophyta; Bryopsida; Funariales; Funariaceae.